Non-coding RNA from Podarcis lilfordi (Lilford's wall lizard), 92 nucleotides. Lineage: Eukaryota; Metazoa; Chordata; Lepidosauria; Squamata; Lacertidae. The record is from the annotation of a GenBank genome assembly.
AUAGUACAAGAUUGACUGUUGGGCUCAGGAAGCCUAAAACUUCCAGUCAAUUGUUUUAGGCUUUCUGAGCCCAACAGUCAAUCUUGUACUAU